Oncorhynchus keta (chum salmon) is the source of this 6660-nucleotide long non-coding RNA. RefSeq lists it as uncharacterized. Lineage: Eukaryota; Metazoa; Chordata; Actinopteri; Salmoniformes; Salmonidae. The transcript is spliced from 7 exons. The record is from RefSeq and is a predicted model, not a curated record.
UCAUCAGGUAAAGGUGUAUAUGGUUGGCUGUCAUCAGUCAUCAGAUAAAGGUGUAUAUGGUUGGCUGUGGUUGGCUGUCAUCAGUCAUCAGGUAAAGGUGUAUAUGGUUGGCUGUCAUCAGGUAAAGCUGUAUAUGAUUGGCUGUCAUCAGUCUUCAGAUAAAGAUGUAUAUGGUUGGCUGUCAUCAGGUAAAGCUGUAUAUGGUUGGCUGUCAUCAGUCAUCAGGUAAAGGUGUAUAUGGUUGGCUGUCAUCAGUCAUCAGGUAAAGAUGUAUAUGGUUGGCUGUCAUCAGGUAAAGCUGUAUAUGGUUGGCUGUCAUCAGUCAUCAGGUAAAGGUGUAUAUGGUUGGCUGUCAUCAGGUAAAGCUGUAUAUGAUUGGCUGUCAUCAGUCUUCAGAUAAAGCUAUAUAUGGUUGGCUGUCAUCAGUCAUCAGGUAAAGAUGUAUAUGGUUGGCUGUCAUCAGGUAAAGCUGUAUAUGGUUGGCUGUCAUCAGUCAUCAGGUAAAGGUGUAUAUGGUUGGCUGUCAUCAGUCAUCAGGUAAAGGUGUAUAUGGUUGGCUGUCAUCAGGUAAAGGUGUAUAUGGUUGGCUGUCAUCAGGUAAAGCUGUAUAUGGUUGGCUGUCAUCAGGUAAAGCUCUUAAUGGUUGGCUGUCAUCAGUCAUCAGGUAAAGCUGUAUAUGGUUGGCUGUCAUCAGGUAAAGGUGUAUAUGGUUGGUUGUCAUCAGUCAUCAGAUAAAGCUGUAUAUGGUUGGCUGUCAUCAGGUAAAGCUGUAUAUGGUUGGCUGUCAUCAGGUAAAGCUGUAUAUGGUUGGCUGUCAUCAGUCAUCAGGUAAAGCUGUAUAUGGUUGGCUGUCAUCAGUCAUCAGGUAAAGCUGUAUAUGGUCGGCUGUCAUCAGUCAUCAGGUAAAGCUGUAUAUGGUCGGCUGUCAUCAGUCAUCAGGUAAAGCUGUAUAUGGUCGGCUGUCAUCAGUCAUCAGGUAAAGCUAUAUAUGGUUGGCUGUCAUCAGUCAUCAGAUAAAGCUAUAUAUAGUUCAGUCUAAAUGAGACAAGCCUGUCAGUACAUGUGAUCAGUGUUUAGUUCUCUGGUUCAGUCUAAAUGAGACAAGCCUGUCAGUUCAUCAUGUGAUCAGUGUCUAGUUCUCUGGUUCAGUCUAAAUGAGACAAGCCUGUCAGUUCAUCAUGUGAUCAGUGUCUAGUUCUCUGGUUCAGUCUAAAUGAGACAAGCCUGUCAGUACAUGUGAUCAGUGUCUAGUUCUCUGGUUCAGUCUAAAUGAGACAAGCCUGUCAGUUCAUCAUGUGAUCAGUGUCUAGUUCUCUGGUUCAGUCUAAAUGAGACAAGCCUGUCAGUUCAUCAUGUGAUCAGUGUCUAGUUCUCUGGUUCAGUCUAAAUGAGACAAGCCUGUCAGUUCAUCAUGUGAUCAGUGUCUAGUUCUCUGGUUGUCUAAAUGAGACAAGCCUGUCAGUUCAUCAUGUGAUCAGUGUCUAGUUCUCUGGUUGUCUAAAUGAGACAAGCCUGUCAGUUCAUCAUGUGAUCAGUGUUUAGUUCUCUGGUUCAGUCUAAAUGAGACAAGCCUGUCAGUACAUGUGAUCAGUGUCUAGUUCUCUGGUUCAGUCUAAAUGAGACAAGCCUGUCAGUUCAUCAUGUGAUCAGUGUCUAGUUCUCUGGUUCAGUCUAAAUGAGACAAGCCUGUCAGUUCAUCAUGUGAUCAGUGUCUAGUUCUGGUUCAGUCUAAAAGGGGGACAAGGAAAACCAUGUUGAGAAACAUGACGGUCUGAAACAGAACCAGCAUUAACUGGUGUCAUUUGCUUAAGCACAUGAAAUAUGCAAAUGGUGUGAAUUAUACCCCACAGUGAGAGAAUAUCUUUAGCACAGAACACAAGCGUGUACAAAAAUAUAAACCAAAUGUGUGAUGAGAGGAUAUUACUGAGAUAAUACAUUAUUUUAUAGGGGAGACAAAUCCAUCCUCUGACUAGAAGCAGUAUGUCACAGCAGACUAGAAGUGGUCUAAAUUCUUCCAGACUGCACUAAACCGAGCCCUGCUACCUGCUCCUUGAACCCAGGAACUCCGGAAUCCUGUCCCACCUAUAGAACCCAGAGCAGGUUGGCGUCACAUUCCAUCAGCACGGCCCGUUACCUCUGACCCGAGGGACGUUUCUGGGCUGGACUUAGGACUUGGACCUGCUCUGAGAUUUGGCUCAGACCAUCUCGUUAUCCUUUCUACCAAAGUGUCCUACUCACUGUACUGGUAUGAAGGGACCAGAACCUAGUCCAAGCUGAGCUGCACAUCUUUAGACCACCCUUACGUUAACAUGUAUGCAGGCAUGACUGACACAAAGCUGUCUGCUAAACGGUAUAUUACAUGAUGUCCUCAGCACUCGUCUAAAUGAGAGGUGGUCACAGCGGUGAGGUUAUAACACAUUUAUCAUCACACCCACCAGCAGAGUCCAGUUUAGUUGACCAUAAAAUAACCCUUUAGAUGUCAGAGUCCCUUCCCAGUUUCACUACUGCUCUGCUAAGAAGCUUCCUUGUACAGAGAGUUUAGAUGCACAUCAGAUGUGUCUGCUUACCAGGAGCUGGUUAGAAGUUCUUUAAAGUCCUGGGAGUCUAAACUAUCCAAUAGAGAAGCACCAGUCAGUAGAGCUGUUAUCAGACAGGUUUCAGGACAGAUGAGCUCUCUCUAGGUUCAGUAGAGCUGUUAUCAGACAGGUUUCAGGACAGAUGAGCUCUCUCUAGGUUCAGUAGAGCUGUUAUCAGACAGGCUUCAGGACAGAUCCUCUCUCUCUAGGUUCAGUAGAGCUGUUAUCAGACAGGCUUCAGGACAGAUGCUCUCUCUCUAGGUUCAGUAGAGCUGUUAUCAGACAGGUUUCAGGACAGAUGAUCUCUCUCUAGGUUCAGUAGAGCAGUUAUCAGACAGGUCUGGUUUCAGGACAGAUGAUCUCUCUCUAGGUUCAGUAGAGCUGUUAUCAGACAGGUUUCAGGACAGAUGUUCUCUCUCUAGGUUCAGUAGAGCAGUUAUCAGACAGGUUUCAGGACAGAUGCUCUCUCUCUAGGUUCAGUAGAGCUGUUAUCAGACAGGUUUCAGGACAGAUGAUCUCUCUCUAGGUUCAGUAGAGCUGUUAUCAGACAGGUUUCAGGACAGAUGCUCUCUCUCUAGGUUCAGUAGAGCUGUUAUCAGACAGGUCUGGUUUCAGGACAGAUGUUCUCUCUCUAGGUUCAGCAGAGCUGUUAUCAGACAGGUUUCAGGACAGAUGUUCUCUCUCUAGGGUCAGUAGAGCUGUUAUCAGACAGGUCUGGUUUCAGGACAGAUGAUCUCUCUCUAGGUUCAGUAGAGCUGUUAUCAGACAGGUUUCAGGACAGACGAUCUCUCUCUAGGUUCAGUAGAGCUGUUAUCAGACAGAUUAUCUCUCUAGGUUCAGUAGAGCUGUUAUCAGACAGGUCUGGUUUCAGGACAGAUGCUCUCUCUCUAGGUUCAGUAGAGCUGUUAUCAGACAGGUCUGGUUUCAGGACAGAUCUCUCUCUAGGUUCAGUAGAGCUGUUAUCAGACAGGUCUGGUUUCAGGACAGAUGCUCUCUCUCUAGGUUCAGUAGAGCUGUUAUCAGACAGGUUUCAGGACAGAUGAUCUCUCUCUAGGUUCAGUAGAGCUGUUAUCAGACAGGUUUCAGGACAGAUGUUCUCUCUCUAGGGUCAGUAGAGCUGUUAUCAGACAGGUCUGGUUUCAGGACAGAUGAUCUCUCUCUAGGUUCAGCAGAGCUGUUAUCAGACAGGUUUCAGGACAGAUGUUCUCUCUCUAGGUUCAGUAGAGCUGUUAUCAGACAGGCUUCAGGACAGAUGAUCUCUCUCUAGGUUCAGUAGAGCUGUUAUCAGACAGGUUUCAGGACAGAUGAUCUCUCUAGGUUCAGUAGAGCUGUUAUCAGACAGGUUUCAGGACAGAUGAUCUCUCUCUCUAGGUUCAGUAGAGCUGUUAUCAGACAGGUCUGGUUUCAGGACAGAUGUUCUCUCUCUAGGUUCAGCAGAGCUGUUAUCAGACAGGUUUCAGGACAGAUGUUCUCUCUCUAGGGUCAGUAGAGCUGUUAUCAGACAGGUUUCAGGACAGAUGCUCUCUCUCUAGGUUCAGUAGAGCUGUUAUCAGACAGGUCUGGUUUCAGGACAGAUGUUCUCUCUCUAGGUUCAGCAGAGCUGUUAUCAGACAGGUUUCAGGACAGAUGUUCUCUCUCUAGGUUCAGUAGAGCUGUUAUCAGACAGGCUUCAGGACAGAUGAUCUCUCUCUAGGUUCAGUAGAGCUGUUAUCAGACAGGUUUCAGGACAGAUGAUCUCUCUCUAGGUUCAGUAGAGCUGUUAUCAGACAGGUUUCAGGACAGAUGAUCUCUCUCUCUAGGUUCAGUUGAGCUGUUAUCAGACAGGUCUGGUUUCAGGACAGAUGCUCUCUCUCUAGGUUCAGUAGAGCUGUUAUCAGACAGGUUUCAGGACAGAUGAUCUCUCUCUAGGUUCAGUAGAGCUGUUAUCAGACAGGUCUGGUUUCAGGACAGACUCUCUCUCUCUAGGGAUUUAAUACCUCUUCUCUGACCGAUGAGCUGAGAGAGCUGAGGUACCCGUUUUGAAGAGGGUGGUGAGCCUUAAACCAGCAGAAUUCCCUCAGAGCAGGUAGUGUGGGUGAUAAACCCUUUGAUGUGUUAUUGGCUGAUAUCAGAAGCCCUUAUAUGGCUGUUAGCCUCCAUUACUAUGGUGUCUUCGGUAAAGCAUGGGGACUCAACACAAACCAAAAUGCCCACACCAUCAGUAGUUGGGUUCAUUCUUGGCCGCUGUCACCAUUGUCCCCUCACCCGCAGUGUGGUCCAGUCAGUCUGCCUCCCACAGAGCCGGGUCCCAGUCAGUCUGCCUCCCACAGAGCCGGGUCCCAGUCAGUCUGCCUCCCACAGAGCCGGGUCCCAGUCAGUCUGCCUCCCACAGAGCCGGGUCCCAGUCAGUCUGCCUCCCACAGAGUCGGGUUCCAGUCAGUCUGCCUCCCACAGAGUCGGGUUCCAGUCAGUCUGCCUCCCACAGAGUCGGGUUCCAGUCAGUCUGCCUCCCACAGAGUCGGGUUCCAGUCAGUCUGCCUCCCACAGAGUCGGGUUCCAGUCAGUCUGCCUCCCACAGAGUCGGGUUCCAGUCAGUCUGCCUCCCACAGAGUCGGGUUCCAGUCAGUCUGCCUCCCACAGAGUUGGGUUCCAGUCAGUCUGCCUCCCACAGAGUUGGGUUCCAGUCAGUCUGCCUCCCACAGAGUUGGGUUCCAGUCGGUUCUUCUCAGGGAGGAACGUAGCCUUGGAGCAGUGGGCACAACUGACAACAACGUCUGUUGUUGUGGGACUGGGAACAUGAUGACGGGUGCUCAGACUCAAGGAUCUCUCUCAAAAAACAUCUCCUCGCUACUUAUCAAACAGCACUGGAGGAGAAGAUCUGAGGCUCUCCAUAACUUGGCCAGUAGAAAGGACCGGAGGAACUGGGGGUAAAGACUUGACAAAGAGACUGUCAGCAUAGUUCCUGAGCCUUCUCCUGACUCCUGUAUGUUUGUCUGACUAACAGGCUGGAGGGGAAGCAAUCAUUAUGAAGGGAACCUCGGCGAUGAUCACAACACACAGAGAUGCUUGUUAACUGAGGGUUAUGUCCCUGGCUGUCUGCCCAGUCUCUGGUCCCAGAGAACACUGUAGGUCCAUUGUUCCUUCCCACACAGGUGUCAACUAACCAACAUGGUUCGUCCUGGACAGCUUCUGAAAAGGCAAUCUAUUUACUAUAUAAACACCCUACUUUUUGACCAGGGCCCACAGGGUAGUGCAGGAAUAGGGGUCCAUUUGAGACACAUGCCUGAUUAUAUUCCCCCCUCUAUUCCCAGAGAACUGAAGGAAAACUCUUCAGACACCAGAUAAAGGUGGCCUGCCCGGGUCUUUGGCACCAACGGCUCCAAUGUGGCCUCUGAUUAACAAAUGGAAGGAGUCCCAGGCAGAGGUUGUGUCCCAAAUGACACCCUAUCCCCUGAGUUCCAUAUUCUCCUUUCAUAGGAGCCCUGGUCAAAAGUAGUGCACUAUUUAGGGAAUAUGGUGCCAUUUGGAACACAAGCAGAGUGAAGGCUCUAUUGAACUCUGAGACCUGGGUUAUGAAUGCCUUGUUCUGCUCUUCUCUAUGGAUAUCCCGUCUAGACAGGCCGGGUUAGAUGUCAUCCCGUCUAGACAGGCCGGGUUAGAUGUCAUCCCGUCUAGACAGGCCGGGGUAGAUGUCAUCCCGUCUAGACAGGCCGGGGUAGAUGUCACCCCGUCUAGAUGUCACCCCGUCUAGACAGACCGGGUUAGAUGUCACCCCGUCUAGAUGUCACCCCGUCUAGAUGUCACCCCGUCUAGAUGUCACCCCGUCUAGACAGGCCGGGUUAGAUGUCACCCCGUCUAGACAGGCCGGGUUAGAUGUCACCCCGUCUAGACAGGCCGGGUUAGAUGUCAUCCCGUCUAGAUGUCACCCCGUCUAGACAGGCCGGGUUAGAUGUCACCCCGUCUAGACAGGCCGGGUUAGAUGUCACCCCGUCUAGAUAGACCGGGUUAGAUGUCACCCCGUCUAGACAGGCCGGGUUAGAUGUCACCCCGUCUAGACAGGCCGGGUUAGAUGUCACCCCGUCUAGAUGUCACCCCGUCUAGACAG